UACGUGAGCCCCGAGCGUUAUCCGGAAUUACUGGGCGUAAAGUGUGCGUAGGCGGUCAUGUUAGUCUUCUGUUAAAUCCACCGGCUCAACCGGUGAACCCCAGAGGAAACGGCAUGACUUGAGUGUGUGAGAGGUUUGCGGAACUCAUGGUGUAGGGGUGAAAUCCGUUGAUAUCAUGGGGAACACCAAAAGCGAAGGCAGCAAACUGGCGCGUUUCUGACGCUGAAAUACGAAAGCGUGGGUAGCGAAUGGG
RNAcentral lists this ribosomal RNA (253 nucleotides) under uncultured bacterium. RNAcentral describes it as "partial 16S ribosomal RNA". It matches the Rfam family "Bacterial small subunit ribosomal RNA", at positions 524 to 776 of the family's 1533-position model. The record is from RNAcentral.